RNAcentral lists this ribosomal RNA (292 nucleotides) under uncultured bacterium. Its description in RNAcentral is "partial 16S ribosomal RNA". It matches the Rfam family "Bacterial small subunit ribosomal RNA", at positions 505 to 796 of the family's 1533-position model. The record is from RNAcentral.
GUGCCAGCCGCCGCGGUAAGACGAACCGAGCGAACGUUGUUCGGAAUCACUGGGCUUAAAGGGUGCGUAGGCGGGCUGCCAAGUUUGGGGUGAAAUCCUCCGGCUCAACCGGGGAAGUGCCUCGAAUACUGGCGGUCUGGAGGGAGGUAGGGGCGUGCGGAACUAACGGUGGAGCGGUGAAAUGCGUUGAUAUCGUUAGGAACUCCGGUGGCGAAGGCGGCACGCUAGACCUCUUCUGACGCUGAGGCACGAAAGCCAGGGGAGCGAACGGGAUUAGAAACCCCGGUAGUCC